Molecule: long non-coding RNA, 15751 nt
Filed under: Homo sapiens (human)
Lineage: Eukaryota; Metazoa; Chordata; Mammalia; Primates; Hominidae
Description: non-protein coding SGMS1-AS1:8
Source: RNAcentral
GCCACUUCCACAUCCAGGGAGCCAACUAGAAACAUCCCCAAACCUAAAAGCAAAAUAACCUGUCCAAACAGCUUUAAAGGUCCAGGAAGAUAAAUGUCAAGGGAGCUAAAAUAGUCGACAGGCCCCAGAACAUAGAAAAUAAACUUCCCUUUCAGAAAGCAGCCUUCACUUGGUUUCGUAAGCGUGUACCGCUGAAGUCUGUACUGUUUGAAGGUGAAAAGAAACAUCUGAGAAGCACCUGCCUGGAUUCUCUUCGCUCCCUCCGGCCAUGACAACCCUUAUCCCGAUUUCUACUUCGCGGCACCAAAGAGGAAAGCAGCAUUCACCAGAACGCUCCAGGCUGAAUCCGUUAGCUGGACUAGGGCACUCUAUCCGGCCCACGGGAGGACGCCACAAGCCCGAGUUCGGGUUAAGACGGUGGGAGAGGCAGCCGCUGCUGCUGCUGUUUUGCCCUUGACACGUCGCUGGGGGAUAGCGCAGACCCCCUCUGUCACGGAAAAGCGGCGUCCUGGAGAGACUGUCCAGUUCUGGGCUGCGCCGAUUCCCCUCCAGGCCUUGCCCCUAAACGUCCCCGCCCCGCGGGGGCAGCCCUGCGGGGUCUCAGAGCCGCCCGCGAGCCUGGCGGGCUGUUACGCGGCCUGGAGAGAAGGGGAGCGCUCCUCGGGGAGGGGGGGUCCCACCUGUUUUGUCGUCAGGGGGCAUCGAGGGGCUACGGUGGGGGGAUCCCGAAAUAGUGGGCGCCUGGCCGGCUGCGAUCUGGACCGAAGGUACCAACUGUCACACCGCCACCUAGGCUGUGGGGGUGGAGCCGUGAUUGGAGUCGGCCCCUGGGUGGGGGUCUCCGGACCCCGGGCGGGCUACUGCCCAAAGGCUCCCCGCCUCCCGAUCGCCCCAAUCCGACACCAGGCAGCCUUCCAGCCCGCACGCAGUAGCUCUGAAAAGGUGCCCACUGACGCCUCCUCCUUCCUCCCCGCCCCAACUUAGCCGGGGAGCCCCGCCGGCGGCCCGCCCCCUCCGAGCCCGGAUCCCGGCCGCCGGACCUCCCCGCUGUGACCACCCACGGGAGCAGCAGCUCUGGAGGACUGCCCGCCAGAAAAAAAAAGCCUCUGGCGACGCCUGGGAGCGCGACGGAGGCGCAAGAGCUCUAACCGCGCGAGGUGAAAACUCCGACUGCGUCAGAGCCGCCCCGCCCCGCCUGGGGCCCACCUUCCGCCGCCCCUCCGAGCUGCGGCGAAAACCCGGAGAGCGGCUAGGCCGGGGUCGGAGCCCGCGCAUGCCCAGUAGCCCCACGUGGUGCAAGUCGCCUGAAGGAAGGUUUUCCUCUGCUCCCCGAGCGAAGCCCCAGCGCCCAAGUUAGGAUGGACAGCGGGGAGAGCUGGCCUUCCCGCCCCGAUGCCCGCCGUCCCUGGCCGGCCCGCGCCGCACCUCGGUGGCCUACAGGCAGCCCGAGGCCGUGCCUCCCGCGGGGUCGGGGACUUGGCGAGCGGGGGAAGGGGCGCGGCUACGGGCCCGGCGUACCACGUGACUGUCCGCGGCGCUCCGGGCAGCCAUCUUCCGCCCGGCCAUCGGGCCGCGGGCGCUCGGAACCGACCUGGGAGCUGGCGGGACCGUCCUCCCCCGCCACGCCCUCCCAUCGGGCUUUGGGCGCCGGACUCUGGCCACCGCUCGGCACCUGCCUCCGCCUCGCCUUGGGGUAUAGGAGUCCUGUACCGACCCCUGGCUUGCCCAGAGGACAGGUUCUCGCCCGGGCCAGAAGCAAACUGCGGCGAAAUCGAGACAACAGAACUCAGGUGGCGGAGGGUCCCCGCUUUUCCCCAGAGGCGGAAGUUGGCGAGGGAGUCCUCUUCCGUUAUCCAGCGAGAGCGCUGCUCUGGCUGCCUCCCGGUUCUAACCUAGUCCCUGCAGAGGAGUGAUGUACCGGCAGGGACAUUGGACAGAGGCCGUGCUCUUCCCUGCAGCGCAUACCCCGCGGCCCCUGCUGGUGGGCCGCUUCGAUGGUGCUGAGGUUCAUAGUGAAUAUUUAUUGAGCGCCUGCCUCGAGUCCCUUGGGUUUCCUGUUGUCUCGGGACCUGCCGCGUCACUAUCACCCUAGAAUUUGUUAGAAAUGCACGUUUUCGGCCCCACCUAGACCUACAGAACCAGAAACUGCGGGUGGAGUCCUGCAAUAUGAUUAACAAAGCCCUCCGGGUAGUUGUCAUGGACGCCUCUAUAUUUCAGCUAAGCAGUCCAUUUUAAUAAGCUAGGCAGUGAAAAUUUCCAUAGUUUUCCCCAAAGCACAGUGAGGAGUCAGGGAUUCAAAAUGAGGCAAUCUGCCCCAAUGCAGGCGUUUUAUUGCACCCUCCACUCCUGGCUCCUCUGGUUUUUUCGCCCGUAAGACACAGUACUGCUCUUCUCAGGAAGAUUAGGAAAGUACAUUUGUCACAUACGCUUUUCAAGCACGGCUUUAAAAUAACAACUGAAAUUCAGUUCAACUGCAUGUUUUGAGUAUCUACUGGGAGCAAGGCUCUGUGAAGUAUAGUAGCCCUACUGGUUAUGUUUAUCAGUUUGCACCUAAAAGGUGAAAGGAAGGCUUGCUUUCUUGUGAUGUAAAUUUUUUCAAACUAAGGGAGUGCCAGAAAACUGCUGGCUGCUUUCUCUCCCGUGUUGGUUUCUCUCCAGUGCUAUCCAGAAUAUGCUGUAAGCUCUGGACUUCCUGAAACAAAGGUCCAAGUAAGCAUCUGGUCUUUGAUGUACUUUAAAAUGCACCCCACCCCCACAUGAAAGAUAACUAAAUUUUUCAAAAUAUUAAUACUUCUUGAAUGUAAAUCGUGUGUCUAAGGUACUGGCAUAAUUUUUUUUUUCAAAUUUUCUAUAUGUUUGAAAUGUUUCAUAAUAAAAUCCUUUUAAAUUUUUUUCCAUGUGUAAUUUUAGGAUGAUAUAUAUAUAGCACAUGGAAAAAAGCAGGGCAUAGAAGUAUUUCCACUUUAAUUUCAGUUUCAUAAAAUCAGAGAGAAAAAGUCAUAGAUAUAUACACCAUACAUAAAAAAUAAAAGCGUAAAUAAAUACAGAAAGAAAUCUAAAGAGAAAUCACCAUAGCAGUAAAAGUAAAUUCUGUGUGAAGUGGUUAUAAGAGACACUAAGAGUUGCCCCUCCUUGAAAUUAUAUUUAGUUAUGGUCCUUAAGUCACUAUUAUUUGUAACCAAAAAAAAAAAUUGAAUAAAAAUAGUUCUCCCUCUUUAGUCCAUCCAAUCCUAAAGAAUUUUUAUCAGUGCCCUUUCUUUUUCUUCAGAGUCACUCUGUCACCCAGGCUGGAGUGCAGUGGCACCAUCACAGCUCCCUGCAGCCUUGACUUACAGGGCUCCAGUGAUCCUCCACCCUCAGCCUCCUGAGUAUCUGAGACCACAGGUGCAAGCCACCAUGCCCAGCAUACAUCUUACUAAGGCAUCUAAAGUACUUACUACUUCGUACUCAUGGGAUCCAAUGAUGCUCACAUAAUGUCAUCAAUAGAGUGGACCAGUGUGAUGUUUUGUGGAAUGUCAGAACAAUCAAGAUCACUUCAGACUAUUAUGGCAGUGAGCAAGAGAACUAAUGGAGCCCGUGGCAACACUGGGAAGACAUAUUGUUGGCCCUGUUGGGUAACAGCAAAUCACUUCUGAUGGACCUUGCAAAUUGGUAUGGAGGAAAAGGCAUUAGCCAGUUGUAGCAAGGAAACCAAAAGGUAUAAACAUUCACUGAUUGAAAAACAAUGUCAUAAAGUCAUCCCAGUAUCUGUGAGGAGUUGGUUCCAGGACCCCUGAGGACACCAAAAUCCUCAGAUGCUCAAGUCCCUGAUAAAAAAAUAAAAGCAGUGGUGCCCUCGGGUUCAAAAACCUGAACGGUGGUCUUCAGUUGUUCCCCCAAGCUCCUCUAUCAGAGGCCCAGACACUCCAAGAGGCUGGGAAGAGGCAAGUGGCUUUCCCUGACUGGCAUCAGACUCCUGGAUGGCUGUGUUUCUGCAUACUCCACCAUCAACAAUCAGAAGGGCACUGCUUUCUUCAAGAAGGGGACCUUGCAAAGAACUGUCUCAGAUGGACUAUCUUUGAGUUCAUCUUGUUCUGAAUGUGAGUCUGAGUCUUUGUUUCCAGAUGACACAGUGCUGUCUGAGUCCUCUGAAUCACCUGCCUCAGAGCUGCAGCAAAGUUUCUGCUGCCCAGAAACUGAAUGGGCUGCUUGUAAUGCAGAUUCUUCCUCCUGGACAAGAAGUGCUGCUGCUUCUAGUUCUUCCAGUUCUAACCCCAACUGGGCCUUUGUAAGGGAGACUUCCUUUAAGGCUUCUGCAAGAGCUGCCAACGUUUUGGAUUUGACUUUCUGAGUCCACACACAGUAGUAUGAGAUGUAGAGAUCAUUCAGUAUGUAUGCUGGGUCGUUUUCCUGAAAAAUUUUGUGAAUAUCCAGGAGACACUUUAAAACUGCACUUUUACUUAAUUGCAGUAUCUUUAUAGUCUCCCCGUAGGCCUUCAUCGCCAGUUUGAAAUGGCGAUAGAGCAGGUAACACAAUACCCUUCUUCCAAAAGACACCAUGAUAUCAUGAACAUUAGUCCAAGUCUCAAACCAGCAUAGUAUUGGACUCAAGUUUCGUGAUAUUCCAUGCAGAUUCAACGUUCUUGUCUCCUUCAGUGACACGGGUUUCUUAGCAAUAUGCCAGAAGGAUAUCAAUCGAACUGUAGUACACUUGACGACAGGCUCUGUUGUCUAGCAGAUAAGAUUUAUUGACAAAUUCUUGUAGCUGAUAUUUCUCUUCUUCAGAAAAAGACACUAAUGCAGCAUGAUUUUCUUGCUUCUGACUCUUUUCCAAAAAGGCCGUCAUUUUUUAAUAUUUGUCAGUCCACCAAGGAUUAUACUUCAAAAUCUGUUCAACUGCCUCAUCUUCAAAAAAGUCAGCUAGAUAAUGAUCAGGAUCAAACUUGGCCAGCUCGGCGGCCAGGUGCUUUUGUUUUCGUUCUGCUGCAGGGAUGAAAUCUGGAUCCUUAAUAACAUCACUCAAUUCAUCCUGUAACUGCUGAAACACUCCUGAUCGUAAGUUUCCAAACCCAUAGUGGCAUGAGGAUUCAAAGCACUUUCUGUUACCUCUUCAUAGGGUGUCUGCUCAAUUUCCCAAUCAAACUCUUCAUCGUCAACUACUUCCUCAGGAAUUUCAGAAUCACCUAUUGCUUCCACAAGUGGUUUUGCUGUCCCGGAUUUUCCUGGUGCCAGAAGAGCAACACAUGUUCAGCCCCUCAAAAUGCUGGCCAGGGGUUUCUCUGGGCAGGCGAGUGGUAAAAAUUCCUUUAUCUGCAUCAUAGGACCCUUGCUCGCUUCCGUAUCCAUAUUCUACAAUUCUUCCAGGAGGGGUUAAUCUGAGAAAGUACGGCUUGGCAUAGUAGUCUAGGCCGACCCCUCGAAGUAGACGUUGAACUCGGAGGCCGGGGCAUAGGGCACGCGGAUGGCGAUGGUCAGGAAAUCCGGCUCCUGGCUGAGGCUGAACGCCGGGGUCAGCAUCGCGGCACCAGACGCAGGGGCCAGCGCGGCUCGCCCUCGCUGCCGCGGCGGUCCCACCAAGCAACUCUCUCCAAUUUUACCUUUUUAAAAUAAAAGAUGUCUGGGCCAGGCGCAGUGGCUCACGCUUGUAAUCCCAGCACUUUGGGAAGCCGAGGCGGGUGGAUCCUGACCUGAGGUCAGGAGUUCAAGAUCAGCCCCGCCGACAUGACGAAACUCCGUCUCUACUAAAAAUACAAACAUCAGCCGGACGUGGUGGUGGGCGCCUGUAAUCCCCACUACUCGGGAGGCUGAGGCAGGAGAAUCACUUGAACCCGGGAGGCAGAGGUUGCAAUGAGCCGAGAUCAUGCCACUGUACUCCAGCCUGGGUGACAGAGUGAGACUCUGUCUCAAAAAAAAAAAAAAAAAAAAAAAAAAAAGUCUGUCUUCCAGGACACAGAAGCCUCCUAUACACACAUUUUGGCACUUGAUUAUGUUAUGUCUUUUACAGUUCUCUGCAUGUUUCUUGCAGGUAAGUCUUGAUUCUUCAAUUACAUAUUAAAUUUCUAUUGAGGAUAUAUAUCUAGCUUUCAUCUUUCAGAGUACCUAGCAUAGGACUUGGCACCAAGUAGCCCAUAGUAAACAGUUAUUCAACCAUAAUGUAUGAUUUUCUUUUCUACUUUUCACUGGUAUGUUUUUGUUUAAAAAGGGUAAACCACCAGGGAUGGAAAUGUCCUUGCUAUGUUAUCCUUCUUCUCUAAUUAGCAACCACCCUUCACAAUCUGCCACAUUACAUUUAAAAAGGAUUUUCAAAUUAGACAUUUAUGCCUGGGCAUUAACCAGGGACUGAUGAAUCAGUGCCAUCAGCAGAACACUGCCCUGACUGGCAGACAUGGCACCAUUGUCAAGACUUGUAAUUUACUCCUGGCUUUUCAAAUAGUCAGUGUGUAACUCCAGGCAAGGUUUAAUUAUCUCCUGUUAAAAUGGGAAUAAUAUGACCCACCCCCACUUUGCUUCCCAUGGGUAUCAUGAGAAUUAAUUAAUUAUUGAAUAAGAAUAUAUGUCUAUAAAAUAUUUUAUAGUUCAUUAGAGGUAAACAAAUGCAAACGUAAGAUAUUGUUCAAUGUAUUAUGAAUGUUCAUUGUUGCUGUAUUUAGUACAAAGUACCUGUAUUAUAUCAACAGUGGUAGUACACAAAAUAAUGAAUACAUGUUGGGUCAGCACCUCCUCCAAUUACCACUUGCAAACAAGUCCUGGAUGGCCAGAACUAAUUGGAAGGUUGAGACAAAAAUUAUAUCUCGCACACUAAAGAAGGGGAGAUUGAUACAGCGCGCUCACCUAAAUUUCGUAGUGCCUUCAUGAACUCUUCAAAAGCUUCAAAUCUAGGCUAGGCUACAGGAAGAACAGCAGCAACUGAAGACUGGCACCUUUUCUGGAACCUCAGCAGCACCUUCCUUGUUUCGUAAGAUUUCGAAGAAGCAUAUCAAAAUUCUUCCACCCAUUCCUUCACAGUAUAAUAGGAGAAAACAUCUAUCCUCCGUUGACACCUGGAAGAAUGAGAUUCCAACUCACUCCAGGACAUGGCCAGAAAAAUUCAACAAAAGAUUUGCUAAAUCCUCUGCACUAUUAUCUAGACCAGGAUUUCUCAACCUCAGCUCUGUGGACAUUUGGGCCAGAUAAUUCUUUGUUACCAGAGGCUGUCCUGUACAUCAUCAGGUGUUUAGCAGCAUUCCUGGCCUCAACCAAAUGGAUGCCAGUAGCACCUCCCCCACCCACUUGUGACAGCCAAAGAUAUCUCCAGACAUUGCCAAAUGUCCCCUGUUAUGGAGAAUCAUCCUCAGUUGAGAAUCACUGGUUUAGGCAAUGAUCAAAGUGGGGCAACUAAAUCAAAAGGCACUGCAAUCUUAAGUUGAUCAAGCAUCCUUCUUUGAAAUCACUCAGCACUUUCAUAUAUUGCAUUUAUAUCUUAGGUAUUCAUAUUCUAACAAUUCAGCCAAUGUUUUUUGAGUUCGCAAUGGACAAGGUACAAGAUCAAGUAAGUAAUUCUGUGUAUCCAUAAAACAGAAAUGGAUAUGGUAUGUCCCAGUUCUCCACAGUAGGCAUUUAUGUUAUUCCCAUCCCAAUAUUUAGCCCUGAUCAGGGUUGUCAAACAUUGCAUGGGACAUACUUAUCCUAAAAAAUUAUUCAUUAUUUAUCUGAAAUUGAAAUUUAACUGGAUGUCCUAUGUGUGUGCAUGUGUAUGUUUGUUUGUUUGUUUCUUUUUCUAAAUCUGAUUACCCUAUCCUAACAGACUCAAGGUUUUUUCCCUGUUCCACAAACUUUAUGACUUGACUUCAUUAAAAAUAAUAAAGAGGAAUAACUGCAAAGGCUUUAAAAAUGCUGUUAGAAUGAGUAGCACAACUGAAUUUGAGGAUACAUUUUCUUUGAAGGAUGUCUAUUUUCCUACUGAAAAUAGUGGCAAACUCCUUAGAACUCAUUCAAAGCCUGAUGGGAUUCAUUGCCUGAUUUAUUUAAAAACACUUCUGAUGCUCACAGACUAUUUAUCAUUUACACAGCAAAUGAUGUUCUUCUAGUAUUCUUGUUGGGUGAGUUAGCAUUGUGGAAGGACAUAGAGGAGAAUCAGACACAAACUUCUUAUAACCUCAUAAACAGGAAGAAAGGGAGCAGAAGCAUAGACUGACUUUACUUUCACUCAGCUUACCUUCCUAGUUCUCCAGGUGUGGUCCUCAGAAGAGGAAUAUCAUGUGACCUGGGAACUUGCUAGAAAUGCACAUCCUUGGGACCCACCCCGGACCUACUGAAUCAGAAACUCUGAGAGUGGGUCCUAGCAACCAGUGUUUUCACAGGCCUUCCAGGUGAUUCUUCCGCAUGUUCGAGUUUGAGAACAACUGCUUUAGAGCCCUGGUUCUUGACCCUGGCUACAGGGUAAAACACCUGGGGAGUUUUUAAAAUACUGAUGCAUGGGGUCCAUUCCAAGGGAGUCUGAUAUAAUUACUAUGGGGUGCAGCCCAGGCGUAAACAUUUUUUAAAAACUCCUCAACCAGAAUAACGGCUCUACAGAAAUUUUAUCAAAUGCCAAAGAAAGAGUUCCUUAUUUUGCAACUAUAGUGCUUUCUACUCUGGCCCUAAUCAACUUUCAUAAAGGCAGAAUGGACAGACAUUACGUGUUUUAAUUUGAAGACUACCAAAAGGCCGGCCAUUAAACUAGGUAUAUGGGCUCGUCCUCAAAUCCCUAAAUCUACUCCUUAGGACCUACUAUAGCCAGUGUCAUAUAAUAGAAAAGUCACUUAUUGUCCACCAGACCCUGCCCUAAUAUUUGAUAACCUCUUGGGGCCUCAUUUUCUUGUGUCUACACUGGGGAUGAUAUUAACUCUUCACAGGAUUUGGGGAAUUAUAAAGAAAGACCAUGUAGUAAAGGCAGGAAGAUCAAUAAUCAAUAAUCACAUCAGAACCUGAAGGGACUUCGUACCAUUGAAGUGAGGCAGAGGAGAGAGAAAUUUAGAAGGACAAAUUCACAAAUUUCAAUGUGUUUCUAUAAUAACUACUUAAAUUAUUUUCUCUUUGAAUUGCCUCACUGUUGUGUGUGUAUGUCCCCACUCCCACCUGUCCCAUUAUUUUCCUGUUUUCACUUGUACCUUGGCAACCCAUCUGUGGUUUUGGCCAAGCUGUUUUAAUGGCAUUGAACCUGGUAGUUUUUUUAAAAGAGUGUGGUAGUAGUUAUAUAUGGCUCGAUAACUCCUGGGGCUACAACAAGGUUAAUGCGACAGUUUUUGUUGUUUAAAAAACAUGCUUGUCUGACAAGUCAAUCAUUUUAAGCCCCUUGUUCACUUCAGGAUGGUUGCUAAAGGCUUCUCUGUGAGCUAAAAGCUCUCGCUGUUAAGGGGCUGCCUGCCCUGACUGUAUGCAUUAAAUGGAACAGUUCUCUACAUGGUUUCUUACUACAGAUGCCUUGGGAUAUAUGGACACUGGCAUUACCUGCUGCAACAGGUCCUCUCCCAGGGUACUGCUGAGACCUAAGGGCUUAAAUGCUCACCAAACCAAGUGACCUUGGAGGGCUGGUCAUGGUGGGCAUCUGGGAGCUGGGAAAGAGCAUUGGAGAACUUCAUAGGGAAACCUAGUAGGCAAAAAUGAAAGAACCCAUAAGGGCCAUUGGCAUGAGCCAUAGCUAAAGGCCACUGGGUUAGCUCUCAAAGAAAACUGCAAGAUUGAAGCAUAAAUUCCUUCAUCAUGAACCAGAAGUCAUGGAGUGGAGCCAGGGGCAAGAAAGAGAAAGAUGAAGAGGUAGAACCACCAGGAUAAAGGUGCCAAGAAAAACAGUGAGAGCAACACUCAGGGAACCAGAGACAGGAACACAGCUGGGAACUAGGAGGAGAAACCACCACAGCUGGAGCGCAAAGUGGCCAGGUCAGAAAAGCCUCAUGGAAUCCUGGUUAACUGAAUGUUUCUAUUGACUGAGGCCACUGCUUAAGCCCUGUAUUCUUUUUUAUUUCAAUCCCCAUGGUUAGAAAAAUAGUCCUAAAAUGGGUUCAUACCCUUUCCUAUCCUGCAAGAUCUUAAACAUCACUAUCUUUUCCUGCAGUAGUUAAAAGCAUGGGCUUUGGAAUCAGAAACUGGGCACAAAUCUGAGCCCUGCUACUUAUUAACUGUGUAACAUUGGUCAAAUGAAUAAACUUCCUGGAGCCUCAGUUUCCUUGCCUGUAAAAUGUGAGUAACAAUACCAACUUAUUUUCAGGUUGUGAGCAUUUCUCCAUAAUAAUCCACAUAAAACACUUACCAGAGCCCUUGGCAUACUGUGUGAGCAUGUAAUAAUGUUAGCUGUCAUUCCAAGACAACAUGUUGGAAUAAUCUACUUUUUCCAUCACUAUAUAUCUCAUUUUCCUUCUUUUUCUUCUCCCUCAAACCUGUCCCCAUUCCAACAGAUGUUUUGGCCUGUGUUCCUAGCCUCCAGUGACAGCAGAAAGCCUGUUAGAUUUCCUGCCUUUGUUUCCCAAAAUUUGAGCCCCAAGAAACUGGGACAAGAUAUUUUCCUGAGACAAGAUAUCUCAGGAAGGGGAAUGAGUGGAGCUUCUUUUCACCCCACACUAGAAAGCCAUUCUGUUUAGAAAAAGGAGACGGAAGGGAAAGAAAAGGGUGCUAUACCAGUUUUCCAGUAUCACCGUCAGGGAGAAAGCAAGGCCGGAGAGUAUCUGGGCAGAUGUAACUAUAAGCAGCCUAAUAAAGGUUCCCAAGUCCAAACCAUGAAUCCAAACGGCAGAGCUGCCAGACAUGAAAGGCCUUGCUGCCCUUCCACCCCACAAUACUUCACCUCUGGAAGCCUUGACAAUUCCAGGGAGUAUUUGCAAAACCCUGCCCCCACCCAAAAUUUUUAAAAUACUGCAUAUGAGUGAGUAAAAUGAUGCCGAGAUUUUUAAAAGGACAAGCUUACCAUCAGAUAGGUAGAAUGAGUAGUAGUGGCAGCGGUGGUGGUAGUGAUAUAGAGAUAAAAGAGUUAAGUGGAGUUACUGAAAUGUGUAGUUAUAUUUCUCACACUCUGGUGUUUGUGGAUUUGUGGGCUGAGAUUCUUAUCAAAUUCCGGAACUUGCAAUGUCUCAAGGUAAUUGUUUAAAAUAUUAAUUGUUUUACUCACACUGCAAAUGUUGAUAUAGAUGCUGGGGUGGAGGUGGGGCAAUAGGCCAGAAUAAGCCCAAGAAUACCUUGGAAUUUGCUGAAUUUCUUUCUUUUUGCAUAAUCUUAUUCACACAUUAACAUAAUAUGAACCACUCUGGCUCCAUGAGCAGCACAGAAGAGACUUUCUGCAAAUGUGAUUAUUAGGGCAAAAGUUAGGAGAUUUUUUGCCCCCAGCUUUUCUCCUCUCCUAAAAUCUUUUUUUUUUUUUCAUUUCUUUGUCAGUGUCUUUAAUUUUUUUAGCUGCAUUUAAAAGGCUUUCUAUUAUUUCUGCAUGAGUAAGAGCAUGUGUCAUGUCAGCCUCCUUGUCAGCUUCUGUUUCACUUUCAUUAAAUUUGUUGAUUGAGUGUAAAGAAGGAGGCACUGUCAUCAUUUCCAGAUUUCAUAGCUGUAGGUUAGAUCUCUCUCGGAGCAAUGCCAUGAUUACUGCUGCAAUUUUGUAAUGGAGCCCUGGAGAGACAGGGAUGAAACCAGGGAAGGCUCCUUAUCCCUUUCGUGGGUCCAGGGAGGCAGAAAGAGAGGGGAGGAGGAUGUUUCUGUUUCACCUCUAUUCAUUCAUUCAUUCAUUUGCUUCACAAAUAUUGAGCACCUCCUGAGUGACAGACACUGAUUUGGGUGCUGGAAAGCAUAAGCAGCCCUGGUGCCUGUCCUCACAGAGCCUAUGGUCUGCUGGUGAGACGGACUUAAUCAGAUAAACACACUAAUGAAUGUAUAGUUGCACCAACAGAUCCUCAUUUAAUUGAGCUGGACUAGGACCUAGGCAUCAGUAUUUUUUUUAUAAGCUUCAUAGGUAACUCUGCCAGGCCUGGGAAUCACUGGGCUAGACCAUGCAAGUUCUAAUCAUAUAGGCUCUACUCAAGCAUUAAGCAUUUUGAUUUUAUCUUUCAAGCUGUGGUGAAAACGUUACUGAAGAGAGGUGAUAUAGUAAGAUGCUCACGGUUUUUAAAAUUAAGCUUUUUUAUUUUGAAAUAAUUAUAGACUCAUAUGCAGUUGUAAGAAAUAAUACAGGGGAAUCCCAUAUAUCCUUUAUCCAGUUUCCCCAAUGGUAACAUCUUGCAAAACUAUGGUACAAUAUCACAACCAGGAUAUUGACCUUGGUGCAGUCAAGAUAAAGCAUUUUCAACACCACAUGAAUCCCUCCUGUUGUCCUUGGAUAGCCCUCCCCACUUUACUCCUGGUGACCACUAAUAUGUUCUCCAUUUCUAUAAUCUUGUCUUUUCAACAGUUAUAUAAGUGGAAUCAUAUAGUAUAGAACCUCAUGGGAUUGGCUGUUUUCUCUCAGCAUCAUUUUCUGGACAUUCAUUCAGGUUGUUUCACGUGUCAAUAGUUUGUUCCUUUUUAGAGGGCUGACUAGCGGUGUUCCAUGUAUAGGGGUGCCAUAGUUUGUUUAACCAUUCACAUGUUGAAGGACAUCUGGGUCUGCUCCAAUGUUCAGAGAUUUUAAAUAGAGCUGCUAUACACAUUUGUGUAUAGGUUUUUGUGUGAACAUGAAGUCUUUGUUUCUCUGGGAUACAUGCCCAAGUGUGCAAUUGCUGAGUUAUAUGAUAGUUGCAUGUAGAAACUAUCAUGCAUAAAGAAACUGUCAAACUAUUUCCAGAGUAUCUGCACCAUUUUACAUUCUCAACAGUAAUGUACCAGUGAUCCAGUUUCUCCUCAUUCUCAUCAGAAUUUAAUGUUGCCACUGUUUUUUAUUUCAGCCAUUCUGAUAGGUAUGUGGUAAUUGCUUGUUGUGGUUUGCUUUGAGUUUCUCUAAUGGCCAACGAUGCUGAACAUCUUUUCAUGUGCUUAGUUGCCAUCUGUAUAUUACCUUUGGUGAAGUGUCUCUUCAUGUCUUUGGCCUAUUUUCUAAUUGGAUUAUUAGCCUUAAUGUUGAGUUUUGAGAGUUUACUUUUAUAUUCCAAAUACUAGUCCCUUUUGUCAAAUAUGGGGUUUGCAAUUUUUUUCCCACUCUCCAAUUUGUUUUUUAUCCUGUUUACAGGGUCUUUCACAGAGCAAAGUUUUUUAAUUGUGAUGCAGUCUAAUUUAUCAGCUUUUCCUUUUAUGGACCAUAUUUUUGGUGUCGAGUCUAAGUCGUCUUUGCUGAGUCCUACAUCAUGAAGAUUUUUUCUUACUAAAAUUUGAUAGUUUUAAAUGUUCUCUAUUUAAGUCCGUGAGUUAUUUUGAGUUAAUUUUUGCAUAAGGUAUAAAUCUUAGGUUGAGGCUCACUUUUUAAUCUUAAGGAUUGCUCAGCAUCAUUUAUUGAAAAGGCUAUCUUCCCUCCAUUGAAUUUCUUUUGUACCUGUGUCAAAACAUCAGUUGCAUAUAUUUGUGUGUAUCAAUUUCUGGGUCUUCUGUUCUGUUCAGUGGAUCUAUGUGUCUAUUUCUCUGCCAAUACCAUAUAGUUUUGACUAUAGUAGCUGUAUAAUAAGUCUUGAAACCCUUGAAACCAGGUAAGACUGGUCCCUUUCAUAUUAGCCUUCCUUUUCAAAAUUGUUUUAGCUAUUCUAGUUCCUUUGCUUUUCUGUAUACAUUGUAGAAUAGUGUUGUCUAUAUCUAUUUUUAAAACUUGCUGGAAUUUUUUUUUAAGAGACAGAGUCUUGCACUGUUGGCCAGGUUGGAGUACAGGGGUAUGAUCAUAGCUCACUACAGCACCAAACUCCUGGGCUCUAGCAAUCUUCCUGCCUCAGUCUCCCAAGUAGGUAGAACUACAUGCAACUGCCACUACAAUCGUAUUUAAAAGUAAAGUUAAAAAAAUUUUUUUUGAGAGAAGAUCUCACUCUGUUGACUAGUCUGGUCUUGAACACCUAGCCUCCAGCAAUCCUCUUGCCUCCCAAAGCACUGGAAUUGCAAGAGUGAGCUACCAGGCCCAACCAGUAUGUUAUGUGUGCAGUUUUUUGUAGAUAUUAUUUAUUAUGUUGAGGAAACUCCCCUCUAUUGCCAUUUUUCUGAUAGUUUUUAAGAUCAUUCAUGGGUGUUGAAGUUUGUCAGAGUCUUUCUGUAUCCAUUGAUUGUUAUGAUCAAGAAUUUUUUCUUUAGCCUGUUAAUACGAUGUAUUAAAUAGCUUCAUUUUCAACUACUGAGCCAGCCUGAAAUAAACCUCGCUUGGUCAUGAUAUAUUAUUACAUAUGCUGCUGAAUUCUAUUUUCUCUUUUACUGGUCUUUUGGCUGGAGAGAGUAGGCUUUUGUUGGGGCUUUACUUGUACGUGCACAUUGUUAUUUCUGGGUUGUCAGCCUCCUUCUCUCCAAGUCUGGGAUAUAUGGGACAAAAACAUAAUCCAGGGAGCCCACCACCUUGUUAGACUUUGAGUCCCUAGAUCCCUAGGUGGUCUGGCUUCUUUUUUUCACCUUUGAAAAUCUUAUGUUUGUUUUAUACAUAAUGUUGAGAGUUUUUCGUUGUUCUUAGUGGCAGAAGUAUAGAAAGAUACUCCAUCUUCUCAAAAAUAGAAGUUCAGAUUAUGUUUUGAAAGGCACUGUAGGCAGGCCAGGGAAGGCUUGUAAAAGGCUACUGCACUGGUCCAGGUGAGGGGAGUUAGUCUGGUAGAAGGCUGUUUCUUCCACCAUUCUCCCCUCACAUUCCACUGCCCCAUUUGCAUGGAGCUGGGGUUCUACUACCCCAGUAGGGCAGCAAGAGAGAAGGAGCAGGCAAUAUCUUGGAGCAUUACACCAUGAUAAAGGGACACCAAUACCCUCCAGAUGCUAGCUGUUUCUUUCUAGAGCUUUUAAACAUUCUCCUUCAGCAGAAGAAAUAAGUCACUCCUGAAAGCAUCCUAACAAUGUGCAUUUCUCCAAAGUUUCCUUAACACUUCACAUUUAACAUGACUCCAGGUAUAAGCAACAUUAAACAAGUCAUAUCUUAUGUUACAACUUGAGUGAAACUUUAAUGAUGCUGAAUUUGCUAAUUUGCUCUGGUAUAAUGUAUUUCCUGUUUAUAAUCCCUUUUGGCUAAUAGCACUAAUCAACAGAAAACACUGACAGACUGCACAAUGGCAACAGUAAUUCUGGACAGAGAUAGUUUUAUUAUCUACAGAUGAAUCCAUGUUUCUAAAACAUUAUUUACUAUAAUGUAAAAUAUGGGUUGGGCGUGGUGGCUCACACCUGUAAUCUCAGCACUUUGGGAGGCUGAGGCGGGCAGAUCACCUGAGGUCAGCAGUUCAAGCCUAGCCUGGCCAACAUGGUGAAACCCCAUCUCUACUAAAAAUACAAAAAUUAGCCAAGUGCAGUGGUGCAUGCUUGUAAUCCCAGCUACUUGGGGGGCUGAGGUAGGAGGAUUGAUUGAACCUGGGAGGCAGAGGUUGCAGUGAGCCGAGAUCAUACCACUGCACUCCAACCUGGGCAACAGAAGGAGACUCUAUCUCAAAAAAUAAAAAUAAAAAUAAAAAUAAAAUGUAGUAGAUAAAGGUCAUAAUUUCUAUGCACCAAAGCUUUUAUAGGAGGCCUGUAUUUUAGCAAUCAACCUGUCCUUAUUCUGUUCAAAUUCAAGGGCACUUGAAUCACUUUAGAUGGUGUCACCUACAUUGGGAAGCAAUCACAGUAUAGAUAUUUUUUCUUAUUAUGUUUGCAAAAUAAACUUCACAAAAUUGUCUAGCAACCUUGUGACCACUUGUUUUCUUUUAUUGAACAUAAUAAUCCUUUUAAC